GCAGUCCUGUCAAACAAUGACGCUGGCCCUUCAAACCAAGAAACACUGCCGUUUCCGCAGCACACGUAUGCACAGACUGUGCAUCAAGGUCAUUAUUGGAACACCUGCAUAAUUUUUUAUCACACAUUCUCUAUACUGUAAUUGCUGCUUCAUCGCAACUUUCUGUUGUUGUUGUUGACUUCUGCUAGUUUUGGGGAUCAACUUACUGUUGGACUUGGUGAGCACAAUCCUUCUGUGCCACAGAAUGGAGCUCCUUACUCUCUGCACCAGGGAACUAUCUUAAAUGAUCAGGGACAAUUUUCAGCACAGUCCACUAUUCCGCCCAACAAUUUUUCAUCAGUUCCACAGGAUGACAUGAUCGCAGGUGCAAGUCAAACUGACCAGGGAACCCCUUCACUUGACCCUGUUCUGGCUGACAUCUCCAGUGGGUUUUCUUCAGUUCCAUUCGAGGACUACAGCAGCCUGGAUGGAACCGACUAUCUGACAGACUAUGGCAUUGCACUAGCUAACAACGCAGAACUGCCGAAUCCCAACAGCCCAUUUGAUGGUCAUGGACAUGAUGGCGGCAACCAGUGACAGAUUAAACUUCAGACCGCUGCAACAGGCUUUCCUCUACUAGACUAAACAUGGUGGUGGUGAUUACAGCAUUCAGUGUGAUUAAACAUUUCUUCUGUAAAUAUUGAUA
Molecule: long non-coding RNA, 685 nt
Organism: Triticum dicoccoides
Lineage: Eukaryota; Viridiplantae; Streptophyta; Magnoliopsida; Poales; Poaceae
Exons: 4
Source: RefSeq, a predicted model, not a curated record